ACAGAGCCCACGACUCCCUCGUCUCUCCCGAAUCGCCGCCACCAUUGCCUCGUCUCCCUUGCGCCGACCCUCCCCACCUCCCACCUCAAAGCUCUGGAGGCUGCCAGAUCCGCCAAAUCCCCACCCAACCGUCCCUCUCGCGUCCCAUCCCGAUCUCUUCAUGCGGCUCCUCGCCGCGCUACCUGCGGCGGCUCCAUCAGGUAAUGUUCGGCGAAUCCCACCACCGCGAAGCACAACCCGAGGUCCCUUCGCUCUGUGGAGCCCUCCCAUCCAGCUAGAUCCAGCGCUUGAGGCCACCACAACCCACCCGCGACCCAUCCCGCAUGGCUUGGUUCCGGGCGUCGGAUCUGUUGCCGGUGGCCAUGUCGUUGUCGUCCUCGUCUCAUCCGACUUGCGGGGAGGAACGUCCAGUGGACAACCUUGCUACGGCUCAGGAUGAAGCAGCCACGAGCUUCCUCUUCCGGCUUCAGGUGAGUUGGUCCACUCCUCCCUCUGCUCUGGUUCGUGGCAGAUCAGGAGAAAUUUUUGUUCUGGAGGUGUUAGGAUUUUCUACUGCUUGGGAGCAAGUGCCUGCUGGUUGAGGUCAAUUUGAUUUUGUUUUGCUGCUAAAGUGUCAAAACAGAGGACGACCACAUCCUGGAUUGAGUCCCGAUGUGUUGAGGCUGGGAAGGUCGGCAUGGCCUCCAACCAUGGCAAUACACCUACUAUGUUGCUGCCUUGCAAGCAGUAGUGGCUAGAAAUCAACCCCUGGCUGCAUAUUCUUUCUAGGGUAACAUCAUUGUAGGGAGGGAUUCUGUAGCCCAUCUACGCAGUAACCAGUGUGUUUGAGGCAAUUACUACACAAAACACCUAGGUAUAGUUAAAAACCAGGUUAGGGUCUAAUUAAUACAGUAUAUAUCUCCAAGGCCCUGAUUAUUUUCUUUUCCAAUCUUUAGUAUUCUCCUGUUUCAGGUUUUGACCAUGGCCAACAUAUAUUCUUUUAGGCUAAUUACUAAAUCAAUCUAACGAUGGUUCAUGUGGCAGCGGAGGUGUAGCAACGGCAGUUUGAAGCAGAUUAGGCGCCCGCGGGCGUCUUUGGCAGCGAGGCUGUCAAGUGAAGGAAAUGGCAGUGUGGCGAUUUGUUUUCUAUUCACAAUAUUGACUAAUAUCCUCUGUAUAUUUACUAACUCCGGAUCCAAGACUUUUAAAUAUAAAUUAUAACAUAGCAGAAGAAAGUCUGGCGAAAGUGUGGCGGUUUGUUUUCUAUUCUCCAUCCUUAAAGCUCAUAACAGAAGAAAGAACCAUACAAUUGACUUUAUCACUAUUGCUUUAUUAAGAAAAAAACCUGUCUUUUACGCAUGUAUUGAUGCUCCUUUUGACUCGAUUGUGUUGUAGGGAGUGAAAGCAUCCAGUUGGGGUGGUCUGCAGCUCUGGUCGCCUCCAGCAGCACUACAUAAUCAAAGUUCCAAACAAUAGUAUUGCACUGCUGCCUCCAGCCAACCACAACAUAAUCAUUGGUGUGUUUCUUAUCUAGAAGAUUUGAGUAAUCUGCGCGCACCAACUUGUUGUAGGGGGACACCAUGGAAGGUGUACAAAAUUAGCAAUGGAUCUCUAGGCUGGUGAUGACCAUGUAAAUUCGUUUCAGUGGAUUUGGGGCUGUACAUUUGUUCCAAAGCAUGGUGAGCACAUGUAGGUUUGUCUAUUUCCUGUUGGAUGACUGAAACCAACUAGAGCUAAAUGUUUUGGUUCAGUUUCCGAUGACAAACUAUUUUGGUUCAGUUUGCUAAUUAAAUGGAGAAGAGAAGAGAAGUAGUACUGUCACACAUUGCCUUUGAACGCACAACAGCUUAGGCUACUGUCCAUAUAAUGUUAUUGAGCCAUGUUGUUCUGCAGGCUAUGUCAUAUAUUGUGGCGUCUGGAUUAGUCAUCAAUGAUCAUGAACACUCAUGCUGGUGUAUUUUCAGAAUCAUAACAGGGACGUAGUUUGCUACAGUUCUAAGUUAUGAUCCUAAAUUUAAACUUGAUGGUGCUGAAAUUAAAGUACAUUUUGGGCAGUGUAAUACAACACUUGCAUAAACUGAAGAUUUGGUACAGAGUCGCAAAAACUGCAAUACUAUUGGUAAUGCAGAAAAAAAUAUUGCAUGGCCUUCAACCUUUAUUGAAAUGAUAUAUGGAUGAUUAUAUGGGUGCGUAACAAGUAUACUGCAACGAUGAUGAUGAUACUCUGGUUCAUGAUGAUGGAUGCUUUCAAUUUUAGUUAAGUUGUGGGACGUUCCUGUUGGACGAUGUUCCGCAAUUAGUUUUAGUUAAGUUGUAGGGAUGUUGAUGGAUGAUUUUAGUUUAGAUUUUGUUGUCAAGAAAAUAUUAGAUUAUGCAUC
Long non-coding RNA from Triticum aestivum (bread wheat), 2357 nucleotides. RefSeq lists it as uncharacterized. The record is from RefSeq and is a predicted model, not a curated record. Lineage: Eukaryota; Viridiplantae; Streptophyta; Magnoliopsida; Poales; Poaceae. The transcript has 5 exons.